AAUCUUGCGCAAUUGGCGAAAGACUGACGCAGCCAUGCCGCGUGAAUGAUGAAGGUCGUAGGAUUGUAAAAUUCUUUCACCGGGGAUGAUAAUGACGGUACCCGGAUAAGAAGUCCCGGCUAACUUCGUGCCAGCAGCCGCGGUAAUACGAAGGGGGCUAGCGUUGCUCGGACUUACUGGGCGUAAAGGGCGCGUAGGCGGAUCGUUAAGUCAGAGGUGAAAUCACAGGGCUCAACCCAGGAACUGCCUUUGAUACUGGCGAUCUUGAGUAUGAGAGAGGUAUGUGGAACUCCGAGUGUAGAGGUGAAAUUCGUAGAUAUUCGGAAGAACACCAGUGGCGAAGGCGACAUACUGGCUCAUUACUGACGCUGAGGCGCGAAAGCGUGGGGAGCAAACA
Molecule: ribosomal RNA, 397 nt
Filed under: uncultured bacterium
Lineage: Bacteria
Description: partial 16S ribosomal RNA
Rfam family: Bacterial small subunit ribosomal RNA
Source: RNAcentral